AGUCGAGGGGCAUCAGUUUGGUUUGCUUGCAAACCAAAGCUGGCGACCGGCGCACGGGUGAGUAACACGUGUCCAACCUACCUCAUACUCGGGGAUAGCCUUUCGAAAGAAAGAUUAAUAUCCGAUAGCAUAUAUUUCCCGCAUGGGUUUUAUAUUAAAGAAAUUCGGUAUGAGAUGGGGAUGCGUUCCAUUAGUUUGUUGGGGGGGUAACGGCCCACCAAGACUACGAUGGAUAGGGGUUCUGAGAGGAAGGUCCCCCACAUUGGAACUGAGACACGGUCCAAACUCCUACGGGAGGCAGCAGUGAGGAAUAUUGGUCAAUGGACGCGAGUCUGAACCAGCCAAGUAGCGUGAAGGAUGACUGCCCUAUGGGUUGUAAACUUCUUUUAUAUGGGAAUAAAGUUG
RNAcentral lists this ribosomal RNA (405 nucleotides) under uncultured bacterium. RNAcentral's name for it is "bacterial SSU rRNA". It matches the Rfam family "Bacterial small subunit ribosomal RNA", at positions 60 to 454 of the family's 1533-position model. The record is from RNAcentral.